This 979-nucleotide ribosomal RNA is filed under the name Enterobacter sp. CW309. Its description in RNAcentral is "bacterial SSU rRNA". It matches the Rfam family "Bacterial small subunit ribosomal RNA", at positions 494 to 1470 of the family's 1533-position model. The record is from RNAcentral. Lineage: Bacteria; Pseudomonadati; Pseudomonadota; Gammaproteobacteria; Enterobacterales; Enterobacteriaceae.
CGGCUAACUCCGUGCCAGCAGCCGGCGGUAAUACGGAGGGUGCAAGCGUUAAUCGGAAUUACUGGGCGUAAAGCGCACGCAGGCGGUCUGUCAAGUCGGAUGUGAAAUCUCCCGGGCUCAACCUGGGAACUGCAUUCGAAACUGGCAGGCUAGAGUCUUGUAGAGGGGGGUAGAAUUCCAGGUGUAGCGGUGAAAUGCGUAGAGAUCUGGAGGAAUACCGGUGGCGAAGGCGGCCCCCUGGACAAAGACUGACGCUCAGGUGCGAAAGCGUGGGGAGCAAACAGGAUUAGAUACCCUGGUAGUCCACGCCGUAAACGAUGUCGACUUGGAGGUUGUGCCCUUGAGGCGUGGCUUCCGGAGCUAACGCGUUAAGUCGACCGCCUGGGGAGUACGGCCGCAAGGUUAAAACUCAAAUGAAUUGACGGGGGCCCGCACAAGCGGUGGAGCAUGUGGUUUAAUUCGAUGCAACGCGAAGAACCUUACCUACUCUUGACAUCCAGAGAACUUUCCAGAGAUGGAUUGGUGCCUUCGGGAACUCUGAGACAGGUGCUGCAUGGCUGUCGUCAGCUCGUGUUGUGAAAUGUUGGGUUAAGUCCCGCAACGAGCGCAACCCUUAUCCUUUGUUGCCAGCGGUUAGGCCGGGAACUCAAAGGAGACUGCCAGUGAUAAACUGGAGGAAGGUGGGGAUGACGUCAAGUCAUCAUGGCCCUUACGAGUAGGGCUACACACGUGCUACAAUGGCGCAUACAAAGAGAAGCGACCUCGCGAGAGCAAGCGGACCUCAUAAAGUGCGUCGUAGUCCGGAUUGGAGUCUGCAACUCGACUCCAUGAAGUCGGAAUCGCUAGUAAUCGUAGAUCAGAAUGCUACGGUGAAUACGUUCCCGGGCCUUGUACACACCGCCCGUCACACCAUGGGAGUGGGUUGCAAAAGAAGUAGGUAGCUUAACCUUCGGGUAGGGCGCUUACCACUUUGUGAUUC